This 72-nucleotide transfer RNA is filed under the name Indicator xanthonotus. Its description in RNAcentral is "tRNA-Val". The record is from RNAcentral. Lineage: Eukaryota; Metazoa; Chordata; Aves; Piciformes; Indicatoridae.
CAAGAUGUAGCUAAACCUAAAGCACUCAGCUUACACCUGAGAGAUACCUACCCAUAACAUAGGUCAUCUUGA